This 1405-nucleotide long non-coding RNA is filed under the name Hordeum vulgare. RNAcentral's name for it is "long non-coding RNA (HVUL_LNC007581)". The record is from RNAcentral. Lineage: Eukaryota; Viridiplantae; Streptophyta; Magnoliopsida; Poales; Poaceae.
UGCUGAUGUUUGCAUGAUCGGUGUUAGUCCAAGCUAAUCCAAGUACUGAAUUACUCCUUGUUGGAGUACUGUCAUUGAAAUGUAAAUUGAAUUACUGUCAUAUAACAGUAAUCUGAAUUUUAAACUGGGUAUGAAGUAAACUUGCUAGAGUACAAAUUUAUGCAUUACUCCAUAUUUUUUGAGGUACCUUCAUUUACUUCAUACUCAAAAUUUACUCCAAAUUUACACAUUACUCCUUGCUGGAGUAUUUUUAAAAUACUCCUAUGGUUAAAAUGGUCAUGUUGUAUAAAGUUCAUCUGUAUAUGUGCUGAAAAUUCAAUUAUACUUGCCUACUAAAAAUUCAGUUAAAAUUCAGUCACCAUUCUGAAUUUUGAUAUUGCUUCAUACAGCUCCAUCUAACUCCAUCUACUCCUCGGCAUACUGAAUUAAGUCAAAUUCAGUCACCAUUCUGAAUUUUGUAGUUAUCAUACAUUUUGUUCAGAAAACUCACUGAAAAAGAUUUGUUCAGUCACCAUUUUGUUCAACUCUAGUUGAUGUCUAGGAGAAGCAAACUGACCAAAGUAAUCAAACAUCCGAGGAGUCCCAACAAUCUUGUCUCACUUUGAUUUGCUCUAAAAUUAAGAGUGAAUUUGAUUGAACUUACUUUGUACCUUCCCUUCAGAGUGCAUAGGAGCAGCAACAGUAGGGGCACGGGAGAAGGACAGAAGAUAGCAGAGCUCUAACGGUGGAAGCUCGAGGAGAAGCAGCAGCCGGAGCACAAGGAGAAGGUGUAGUCGGAGCUCGAGGAGAGGUAGAAGUGGGAGCUCGAGGACACAUAGGAGAGCAGUUUUUGGCGGUGGCAUAGGUUUGGCCGGAGGUGGCACAGCAGGUCUGAGGAACGGCGGGAGAGCACUUCUAGGCGGCAGGAGAGGGCCGCAGUGGCAUAGGUCUGGGCGAUGGCACCGAAGCUGUUCUGGGCGGCGGCAGACCGGGUCAUGAGGAAUCGUGGCUAUAGCUAGACGUGACUGACCGGCGCCGGCCCUGGCAAUGUGUAACUCAUCCUAUCUUUAUUUUGGCACGAGGGUCUCGACAGGGAUAGAAGCGCACCUCGUCGUUUCGCAAGAAUGAAUAUCAUUACAAAUACAUGUAUGGAAGAGAUGAGUAUAAGGAAUUGGCUUGCACGGGUCACAAGCUACAACAUGAACAACACAAUACAACAAUAUAUUCAAUCAUCAUGUAGAAGAGCAUGGUCCGACUAUGGAUGAAAACAAAUGAUAAAAGAACAAUGUUCAUCCUUACUAUACCAAGCUGCCGACCUAGAACCCAUCCUAUGAUCGAUGAAGAAGAGGAAGAAAAACUCCAAAUAGAAAAAUCACCGCGCUCACGUCAAAGUAUCGUUUUACUUGUACCUGCAACUGUUGUUAUA